GAAUGGACGCGGUAUUGGUGCGGUUCAAUCAGAAAGCUGGCGCCCCCGGAGGCAAGGGGUUCCGCUCUUCGAUUGAGCCGUGCCAAUAUCACGCGGUUCCUC
Molecule: non-coding RNA, 102 nt
Organism: Hordeum vulgare subsp. vulgare (domesticated barley)
Lineage: Eukaryota; Viridiplantae; Streptophyta; Magnoliopsida; Poales; Poaceae
Source: Rfam